AUCGCUGCUAAUCUAUCGCUGCUAAUCUAUCGCUGCUAAUCUAUCGCUGCUAAUCUAUCGCCGCCAACCUACCUACCGCUGCCAACCUAUCUAUCGCUGCCAACCUAUAUAGGGUAAAUCAUGGUCCCAUUUGGUCCCAUUUUGUAAAAUGGGACCAAAUGGGACCAGGAUCACUAAUUUAUUAGUAAAACAUGAUCUGGGACUAGAUUUAUAAUAUAAACAGUGUAAAGUGACUAAUUUGCUAAACACUAUAUGGGACCAGGACUAAGAUAUCUAAUAAUGGGACUGAGGAAAAAUUUGGUCCCAGUCCCAUGCAUGGUCACACGGCCAGUCUAAUCUGCUC
Molecule: small RNA, 343 nt
Filed under: Histoplasma capsulatum
Lineage: Eukaryota; Fungi; Ascomycota; Eurotiomycetes; Onygenales; Ajellomycetaceae
Also listed under: 1 other name
Description: hypothetical RNA
Source: RNAcentral